RNAcentral lists this long non-coding RNA (232 nucleotides) under Physcomitrium patens. Its description in RNAcentral is "long non-coding RNA (PPAT_LNC003324)". The record is from RNAcentral. Lineage: Eukaryota; Viridiplantae; Streptophyta; Bryopsida; Funariales; Funariaceae.
UGAUGAAACCACGGUGUACACAAAGCAGUGUGCGGGGAAGGAGAUUGUGCCGCUCACAGGGCGCCUUCUUCUGGCGGAGCUUUUCAUGCGCUUCGAUUCCUUCAACAUCGAAGGCCUCGAAAUGGAGGCAACCUUCACUUCACUGACGCCGCGAUCAGAUUGAAGCUAUAGCUUGUAAAACACCCACCCCACGUUGUGAGAUUAUUAGUACCACGUACAUCAGUAGUUCACG